CGUGUAGGCGGGAUAGCAAGUCAGUCGUGAAAUACCGAGGCUCAACCUCGGGCUGCGAUUGAAACUGUUAUUCUUGAGUAUCGGAGAGGAAAGCGGAAUUCCCAGUGUAGCGGUGAAAUGCGUAGAUAUUGGGAGGAACACCAGUGGCGAAGGCGGCUUUCUGGACGACAACUGACGCUGAGGCGCGAAAGUGUGGGGAGCAAACA
Molecule: ribosomal RNA, 206 nt
Filed under: uncultured bacterium
Lineage: Bacteria
Description: partial 16S ribosomal RNA
Rfam family: Bacterial small subunit ribosomal RNA
Source: RNAcentral